GGAUCUAGGAGUUGACCCUCCAUCGUCUCGUGAUCCACCAUUUCCUCUUGCAGUUCCUGCGUCAAAUAGUCUUGCUAACGCUUUAGUAGAUGCACCAUCUGGUUUCUCUAAAGGCAAGAAUCGCAAUGGCGGGUUGGGUUUGUCUGAUAUCAUUACUCAGAUCCAGGCCUCAAAGGAUUCAACUAAAUCAUCCUAUCGAGGCAGUGCGGUUCAUGAAUCUUUUUCAGGGCUUAAUUCUUAUUCGGCAAGAAGGGCUUCUGAAAAGCUACCAGAUAGAGGUUUUGUUGAAGAUAAUGCUGAACUAAGGGAAGGCAGGCGAUUAAUGAACUCACACGUUCACAGACAAUACAUAGAGUCGCCAUACAAAGAUGCUAACUUUAGGGAUUCUCACUAUAAUCAUGUUCCAAAUUUUCAACGUCCUUUAUCAAGAAAGAACACAGCAGGAAGAAUGUCUUCUAGCAAGAGAAGGAGCUUUGAUGACAGUCAGCUCCCGCUAGGAGAAAUGUCAAGUUAUGUCGAGGGACCUGCCUCACUAAGUGACGCAUUAAGUGAGGGUCUCAGUUCUAGUUCAGAUUGGAAUGCUAGGGUUGCUGCAUUUAAUUAUGUCAAGUCUUUGCUACAGCAGGGGCCUAGAGGUUUUCCAGAAAUCAUGCAGAGCUUUGAGAAGGUCAUGAAAUUGUUUUUCCAGCACCUUGAUGAUCCCCAUCAUAAAGUUGCACAGGCUGCUCUAUCAACCCUUGCAGAUCUUAUUCCAGCUUGUAGAAAACCUUUUGAAAGUUACAUGGAGAGGAUUUUGCCUCAUGUUUUUUCACGGCUAAUUGAUCCCAAGGAAUCAGUGAGGCAGCCUUGCUCAACUACAUUAGAGAUUGUAAGCAAAACAUAUGGUAUCGACUCCCUUUUGCCAGCUUUGCUCCGUUCAUUGGAUGAACAACGUUCUCCCAAGGCCAAACUUGCUGUAAUUGAGUUCUCAAUUGGCUCUUUUAACAAGCAUCCUUCAAAUUCUGAAGGUGCUGGAAAUAGUGGCAUCCUCAAGUUAUGGCUCGCUAAGUUGACACCAUUGGUCUAUGAUAAAAACACCAAACUGAAAGAAGCGGCUAUUUCAUGCAUUAUAUCAGUGUACACACACUUUGAUGGAACAGGGGUUUUGAAUUUUAUUCUUAGCUUAUCAGUUGAAGAACAAAAUUCUUUAAGACGAGCUCUGAAACAGUAUACCCCUCGUAUAGAAGUGGAUUUGAUGAAUUUUUUGCAAAAUAAAAAAGAAAGACAACGUUCCAAGUACGAUCCAUAUGACGUUACUGGCACAUCUUCUGAAGAGGGAUAUGUAGGAGCUUCAAAGAAAAAUAAUUUAUUUGGAAGGUAUUCUGCUGGUUCAGUUGAUAGUGAUGGUGCCAGAAAGUGGAAUUCUGUUCCAGACCCGACCUAUAUGACUAGUUCUGUAGGUCACUCAUUGUCGGAUGAUACUCAAGACUUCUAUCAUGGUGUUGAAGCUGGUGCCAACUCUGAUUUUCCUGUUUCAAAAGCCAAGGAUUCAAAACUUUCCGCAAGUGGCAGUGAUGGUAUAUGGGCUAAUUCACAGAAAAGCAAUGAUGACAGCUUAAACAUGGAGCACACUUCCACAACCCGUCUGGAGGUUAAUGGGUUAGUUGACUCGGAGCAUCUAGCUGCAGCUGAUAAUGAAUCUGAUUUGGGACUCAAUCACCUGAAACUUUCUGCUCUGAAGAUAAACUUAACUCCAGCAACUGAACCAAGCAUUCCCCAGAUUCUUCAUUCAAUUUGUAAUGGCAAUGAUGGAAGUCCUGCUGCCAACAAGCAUGAUGCACUUCAACAACUAGUUGAAGCUGUUACCAAAGAUCAAUCCAUAUGGAGCAAGUACUUCAAUCAGAUAUUGACUGCUGUACUCGAGGUGCUAGAUGAUUCUGCGUCAUCAAUAAGAGAACUUGCCCUAUCUCUGAUAGUUGAAAUGCUGAAGAAUCAGAGAGAUGCUAUGGAGGAUUCAG
Molecule: unclassified non-coding RNA, 1997 nt
Filed under: Hevea brasiliensis (rubber tree)
Lineage: Eukaryota; Viridiplantae; Streptophyta; Magnoliopsida; Malpighiales; Euphorbiaceae
Source: RNAcentral